UUGGUCGCAGGUUCGAAUCCUGCACGACCCACCAAUUUCAGCAUUUAACUCAGAUGCUGAACGUGAAGGAUAACGUUGCGACAGCAACGGCCCGAAGGGCGAGGCGAAGUCGAGUCAUCCUGCACGACCCACCA
Molecule: small RNA, 134 nt
Filed under: Klebsiella pneumoniae
Lineage: Bacteria; Pseudomonadati; Pseudomonadota; Gammaproteobacteria; Enterobacterales; Enterobacteriaceae
Description: partial RtT sRNA
Rfam family: RtT RNA
About the family: This family represents a bacterial cis-regulatory element known as RtT RNA. The exact function of RtT is unknown although it is thought that it may be involved in changing the cellular response in relation to amino acid starvation.
Source: RNAcentral